RNAcentral lists this antisense RNA (500 nucleotides) under Actinacidiphila rubida. RNAcentral's name for it is "Streptomyces rubidus Saccharopolyspora sRNA 350". It matches the Rfam family "Saccharopolyspora sRNA 350". Lineage: Bacteria; Bacillati; Actinomycetota; Actinomycetes; Kitasatosporales; Streptomycetaceae. The record is from Rfam by way of RNAcentral.
UUCGCGGUGAACUGCCAGGUGCUGUCGUCGCCCAGGAGUGCCUGCUCGCCGAAGUGGUCGCCGUCGGCGACGACGCCGAGCCGGGUCUGCUCGCCGUACGAUCCCUCGCCGAGCUUCUCGAUCUUGCCGUGGGCGACGAGGUAGACCGUGUCGGCCGGUUCGCCGACGGUGGCGAUGACCUCGCCCGGGCCGUACUCGCGCUGGACGAAGCGGUCGGCGAGGGCGGUCAGCGCGCCCUCGUCGCCGAACGUGCGCAGCGCGGCGAUCUCGCCGAGCUCCUGCGGGAUGACCCGCACCUCCGAGCCCGUCUUCACGAAGGUCACCCGGCCGUCGCCGACGGCGUAGCUGAGCCGCCGGUUGACCCGGUAGGUGCCGGCGCUGACCUGUACCCAGGGCAGUACUUUCAGCAGCCAGCGGGACGAGAUGCCCUGCAUCUGCGGAGCGGACUUGGUGGUCGUCGCCAGGUUCCGCGCGGCCGCCGUGUCCAGGCUGGUCCGCGG